This 468-nucleotide ribosomal RNA is filed under the name uncultured bacterium. RNAcentral describes it as "partial 16S ribosomal RNA". It matches the Rfam family "Bacterial small subunit ribosomal RNA", at positions 28 to 507 of the family's 1533-position model. The record is from RNAcentral.
GACGAACGCUGGCGGCGUGCUUAACACAUGCAAGUCGAACGGAAAGGCCCUGCUUUUGUGGGGUGCUCGAGUGGCGAACGGGUGAGUAACACGUGAGUAACCUGCCCUUGACUUUGGGAUAACUUCAGGAAACUGGGGCUAAUACCGGAUAGGAGCUCCUGCUGCAUGGUGGGGGUUGGAAAGUUUCGGCGGUUGGGGAUGGACUCGCGGCUUAUCAGCUUGUUGGUGGGGUAGUGGCUUACCAAGGCUUUGACGGGUAGCCGGCCUGAGAGGGUGACCGGCCACAUUGGGACUGAGAUACGGCCCAGACUCCUACGGGAGGCAGCAGUGGGGAAUAUUGCACAAUGGGCGGAAGCCUGAUGCAGCAACGCCGCGUGCGGGAUGAAGGCCUUCGGGUUGUAAACCGCUUUCGCCUGUGACGAAGCGUGAGUGACGGUAAUGGGUAAAGAAGCACCGGCUAAUUACGUG